This 557-nucleotide ribosomal RNA is filed under the name uncultured bacterium. RNAcentral describes it as "bacterial SSU rRNA". It matches the Rfam family "Bacterial small subunit ribosomal RNA", at positions 102 to 694 of the family's 1533-position model. The record is from RNAcentral.
ACGGGUGAGUAACACGUGGGAACGUACCCUUAUCUUCGGAAUAGCUCCGGGAAACUGGAAUUAAUACCGAAUGCGCCCUUUGGGGGAAAGAUUUAUCGGAUAAGGAUCGGCCCGCGUUGGAUUAGCUAGUUGGUGGGGUAAAGGCCUACCAAGGCGACGAUCCAUAGCUGGUCUGAGAGGAUGAUCAGCCACAUUGGGACUGAGACACGGCCCAAACUCCUACGGGAGGCAGCAGUGGGGAAUAUUGGACAAUGGGCGCAAGCCUGAUCCAGCCAUGCCGCGUGAGUGAUGAAGGCCUUAGGGUUGUAAAGCUCUUUCACCGGAGAAGAUAAUGACGGUAUCCGGAGAAGAAGCCCCGGCUAACUUCGUGCCAGCAGCCGCGGUAAUACGAAGGGGGCUAGCGUUGUUCGGAAUUACUGGGCGUAAAGCGCACGUAGGCGGACAUUUAAGUCAGAGGUGAAAUCCCGGAGCUCAACUUCGGAACUGCCUUUGAUACUGGGUGUCUUGAGUAUGGAAGAGGUUAGUGGAAUUGCGAGUGUAGAGGUGAAAUUCGUAGA